This 748-nucleotide ribosomal RNA is filed under the name uncultured Lachnospiraceae bacterium. Its description in RNAcentral is "bacterial SSU rRNA". It matches the Rfam family "Bacterial small subunit ribosomal RNA", at positions 28 to 776 of the family's 1533-position model. Lineage: Bacteria; Bacillati; Bacillota; Clostridia; Lachnospirales; Lachnospiraceae. The record is from RNAcentral.
GAUGAACGCUGGCGGCGUGCUUAACACAUGCAAGUCGAACGAAGCUGCUAAAAGGAAGUCUUCGGACGGAAUUUAGGUAGACUUAGUGGCGGACGGGUGAGUAACGCGUGGAUAACCUGCCUUAUACAGGGGGAUAACGGAGAGAAAUUUCCGCUAAGACCGCAUAAGACCACAGCACCGCAUGGUGCAGGGGUAAAAUAUUUAUAGGUAUAAGAUGGAUCCGCGUCCGAUUAGCUAGUUGGUGAGGUAAAGGCCCACCAAGGCGACGAUCGGUAGCCGGCCUGAGAGGGUGAACGGCCACAUUGGGACUGAGACACGGCCCAAACUCCUACGGGAGGCAGCAGUGGGGAAUAUUGGACAAUGGGGGAAACCCUGAUCCAGCGACGCCGCGUGAGUGAAGAAGUAUUUCGGUAUGUAAAGCUCUAUCAGCAGGGAAGAAAAUGACGGUACCUGACUAAGAAGCCCCGGCUAACUACGUGCCAGCAGCCGCGGUAAUACGUAGGGGGCAAGCGUUAUCCGGAUUUACUGGGUGUAAAGGGAGCGCAGACGGCAAUGCAAGUCUGAAGUGAAAGGCGUGGGCUCAACCCAUGAACUGCUUUGGAAACUGUAUAGCUUGAGUGUCGGAGGGGUAAGCGGAAUUCCUAGUGUAGCGGUGAAAUGCGUAGAUAUUAGGAGGAACACCGGAGGCGAAGGCGGCUUACUGGACGACAACUGACGUUGAGGCUCGAAGGCGUGGGGAGCAAACAGG